This 469-nucleotide ribosomal RNA is filed under the name Comamonadaceae bacterium. RNAcentral describes it as "bacterial SSU rRNA". It matches the Rfam family "Bacterial small subunit ribosomal RNA", at positions 391 to 853 of the family's 1533-position model. The record is from RNAcentral. Lineage: Bacteria; Pseudomonadati; Pseudomonadota; Betaproteobacteria; Burkholderiales; Comamonadaceae.
GCAAUGCCGCGUGCAGGAUGAAGGCCUUCGGGUUGUAAACUGCUUUUGUACGGAACGAAACGGUGAGCUCUAAUACAGUUUGCUAAUGACGGUACCGUAAGAAUAAGCACCGGCUAACUACGUGCCAGCAGCCGCGGUAAUACGUAGGGUGCGAGCGUUAAUCGGAAUUACUGGGCGUAAAGCGUGCGCAGGCGGUGAUGUAAGACAGAUGUGAAAUCCCCGGGCUCAACCUGGGACCUGCAUUUGUGACUGCAUCGCUGGAGUACGGUAGAGGGGGAUGGAAUUCCGCGUGUAGCAGUGAAAUGCGUAGAUAUGCGGAGGAACACCGAUGGCGAAGGCAAUCCCCUGGACCUGUACUGACGCUCAUGCACGAAAGCGUGGGGAGCAAACAGGAUUAGAUACCCUGGUAGUCCACGCCCUAAACGAUGUCAACUGGUUGUUGGGUCUUCACUGACUCAGUAACGAAGCU